Long non-coding RNA from Hordeum vulgare subsp. vulgare (domesticated barley), 500 nucleotides. RefSeq lists it as uncharacterized. The transcript has 2 exons. The record is from RefSeq and is a predicted model, not a curated record. NCBI's taxonomy places the organism in Eukaryota, Viridiplantae, Streptophyta, Magnoliopsida, Poales, Poaceae.
CAAACGGAAGUUGAGUGAGAGGGGGCCACUUGCUGGUAAGCGACUUCCACAAAGAUCAGUGAAUGCCCUACAGAAAUUGGAAGAUGGAAAUCAAAAAACAAAAGAUAAUAAGCAGCCGGAAACCUUUCAAAAGGAGCUGGUUAUGACAUCUGAUCAAGCUUCCACACAGAACCAACGCCUUCCAAAGGGAUAUGCAUAUGUACCCUAUGAUUCUCUUUCUAAAGAGAAACCAUGGAAACGAAAUACACAGACCCAUGAACCACAAGAGCCUGGUGGAUAGGAAUAGCUGAAAUCCACAAAAAAACGCAUGCCUAGUGUUGUCAACUAAAAAGCACAAGCAUCAAACGGUGCUGGCCUGUGCUUUUGCUGCAAGGAUUACCAAACUAAUUGGAAUCAAGUUGUAGAAUGAUGCAAACCAAACUAGUUGUGAAUGAGUGUUUGGUAUGAGCUGGGUGACUUGGAUGAAUGGAAACAUAGGUGCAAUUCACCUAACAGGGCUA